RNAcentral lists this ribosomal RNA (668 nucleotides) under uncultured bacterium. RNAcentral's name for it is "bacterial SSU rRNA". It matches the Rfam family "Bacterial small subunit ribosomal RNA", at positions 163 to 807 of the family's 1533-position model. The record is from RNAcentral.
CUAAUACCGAAUAAGUUCCAAGAGCCGCAUGGCCCAUGGAAGAAAAGGUGGCCUCUACCUGUAAGCUAUCGCCUGAAGAGGGGUUUGCGUCUGAUUAGCUGGUUGGAGGGGUAACGGCCCACCAAGGCGACGAUCAGUAGCCGGUCUGAGAGGAUGAACGGCCACACUGGAACUGAGACACGGUCCAGACUCCUACGGGAGGCAGCAGUGGGGAAUCUUCCGCAAUGGGCGAAAGCCUGACGGAGCAACGCCGCGUGAGUGAUGACGGCCUUCGGGUUGUAAAACUCUGUGAUCCGGGACGAAAAGGCAGAGUGCGAAGAACAAACUGCAUUGACGGUACCGGAAAAGCAAGCCACGGCUAACUACGUGCCAGCAGCCGCGGUAAUACGUAGGUGGCAAGCGUUGUCCGGAAUUAUUGGGCGUAAAGCGCGCGCAGGCGGCUUCCCAAGUCCCUCUUAAAAGUGCGGGGCUUAACCCCGUGAUGGGAAGGAAACUGGGAAGCUGGAGUAUCGGAGAGGAAAGUGGAAUUCCUAGUGUAGCGGUGAAAUGCGUAGAGAUUAGGAAGAACACCGGUGGCGAAGGCGACUUUCUGGACGAAAACUGACGCUGAGGCGCGAAAGCGUGGGGAGCAAACAGGAUUAGAUACCCUGGUAGUCCACGCCGUAAAC